GAGGAAUAUUGGUCAAUGGGCGCGAGCCUGAACCAGCCAAGUAGCGUGAAGGAUGAAGGUCCUAUGGAUUGUAAACUUCUUUUAUAGCAGAAUAAAGUGACCCACGUGUGGGUUUUUGUAUGUAUGCUAUGAAUAAGGAUCGGCUAACUCCGUGCCAGCAGCCGCGGUAAUACGGAGGAUCCGAGCGUUAUCCGGAUUUAUUGGGGUUAAAGGGUGCGUAGGCGGAAAGAUAAGUCAGCCUGUGAAAGUUUGCGGCUCAACCGUAAAAUUGCAGUUGAUACUGUUUUUCUUGUGUGUACAUAAGGUAGGCGGAAUUCGUUGUGUAGCGGGGAAAUGCUUAGAUAUCACGAAUAACUCCGAUUGCGAAGGCAGCUUACCGGGGUACAACUGACGCUGAUGCACGAAAGGGUGGGUAUCAAACA
RNAcentral lists this ribosomal RNA (422 nucleotides) under uncultured bacterium. Its description in RNAcentral is "bacterial SSU rRNA". It matches the Rfam family "Bacterial small subunit ribosomal RNA", at positions 356 to 774 of the family's 1533-position model. The record is from RNAcentral.